This 250-nucleotide ribosomal RNA is filed under the name uncultured Ralstonia sp. RNAcentral describes it as "partial 16S ribosomal RNA". It matches the Rfam family "Bacterial small subunit ribosomal RNA", at positions 103 to 354 of the family's 1533-position model. The record is from RNAcentral. Lineage: Bacteria; Pseudomonadati; Pseudomonadota; Betaproteobacteria; Burkholderiales; Burkholderiaceae.
CGGGUGAGUAAUACAUCGGAACGUGCCCUGUAGUGGGGGAUAACUAGUCGAAAGAUUAGCUAAUACCGCAUACGACCUGAGGGUGAAAGUGGGGGACCGCAAGGCCUCAUGCUAUAGGAGCGGCCGAUGUCUGAUUAGCUAGUUGGUGGGGUAAAGGCCCACCAAGGCGACGAUCAGUAGCUGGUCUGAGAGGACGAUCAGCCACACUGGGACUGAGACACGGCCCAGACUCCUACGGGAGGCAGCAGGC